Molecule: transfer RNA, 162 nt
Filed under: Bipolaris maydis ATCC 48331
Lineage: Eukaryota; Fungi; Ascomycota; Dothideomycetes; Pleosporales; Pleosporaceae
Also listed under: 1 other name
Description: tRNA-Thr
Rfam family: tRNA
About the family: Transfer RNA (tRNA) molecules are approximately 80 nucleotides in length.
Source: RNAcentral
GGCCUGAUGGUCUAGUGGUAUGAUUGUCGCUUCGUAAGCUUGCCCCGCCGCCGCCACCAACACCCAACCAACACCGUCCUAACAACCAUCUAGGGGUUUCUCUACCUGGAUACAGUGUAUCUGUUAUGUGACAGGCCCCGGGUUCGAAUCCCGGUCAGGCCC